UUUUGACGAGCGCAUCUAUUAGAUUAAAACCAAUCGGGUUUCGGCCCGUCAAUUGGUGACUCUGAAUAACUAUGGCUGAUCGCAUGGUCUUGAACCGGCGACGUGUCUAUCAAGUGUCUGCCUUAUCAACUGUCGAUGGUAGUUUAUGUGCCUACCAUGGUUGUAACGGGUAACGGAGAAUAAGGGUUCGACUCCGGAGAGGGAGCCUGAGAAACGGCUACCACAUCCAAGGAAGGCAGCAGGCGCGCAAAUUACCCACUCUCGGCAUGAGGAGGUAGUGACGAAAAAUAACGAGACCGUUCUCUCUGAGGCCGGUUAUCGGAAUGGGUACAAUUUAAACCCGUUAACGAGGAUCUAUGAGAGGGCAAGUCUGGUGCCAGCAGCCGCGGUAAUUCCAGCUCUCAAAGUGUAUAUCGUCAUUGCUGCGGUUAAAAAGCUCGUAGUUGGAUCUGCGCCUCAGGACUUGGUCCGCCCACUGGGCGAGAACUGGGCUCCUGGGCUAGUACUGCUGGUUUUCCCUACGUUGCCUUCAUCGGUCGCGUAGGGUGGCUAGCGAGUUUACUUUGAAAAAAUUAGAGUGCUUCACGCGGGCUUAUGUCUGAAUACUCGUGCAUGGAAUAAUAGAAUAGGAUCUCGGUUCUAUUUUGUUGGUUUUCUGAUCUGAGAUAAUGGUUAAGAGGGACGGACGGGGGCAUUCGUAUCGCUGCGUGAGAGGUGAAAUUCUUGGACCGUAGCGAGACGUCCGACUGCGAAAGCAUUUGCCAAGAAUGUCUUCAUUAAUCAAGAACGAAAGUCAGA
This 798-nucleotide ribosomal RNA is filed under the name Anisakis simplex sensu lato. RNAcentral's name for it is "SSU rRNA". It matches the Rfam family "Eukaryotic small subunit ribosomal RNA", at positions 192 to 994 of the family's 1831-position model. The record is from RNAcentral. Lineage: Eukaryota; Metazoa; Nematoda; Chromadorea; Rhabditida; Anisakidae. RNAcentral also lists the same sequence under 1 other name.